UAGAGCUUUAGCAUUGCCUCCUUGAACUAUCUCCACUCGCAAUCAUUCACAUAUCGUAAUUUUGGAUUUAAAGGGAAGAACAUACUACUUCCUGAGCUAACACACAAAGCAUAGAACAAACCUUGGGGACUUGCUUGGAUGAUUUUGUUCCUCAGACUGUUUCCUUUUUCAAGUCACCGUUUGUUUCCCGGCUUGGCUCAAUCUUCGGUUCACUGAAAGAGCAUGCGUUUUGAGUCCUAGUUACAUCAACCGUAAACUAUCUCAGGCCUUAGCGCGACAGAAACCAACCUCGAAUCGAUAGAAGGGUUGAAAGACUGAAACGACAUGCGUCCUAACAAUGCUCCUGGUAGAUCAUCAAAUCACACAUUACCAAACACAUGUAUCAGAUACUGACAAAUAACCAGACUAUAAAAACAAUUAUCAUCAUUCAUGAACACAAGGACGUAAUUAACUCAAGAGCCCAAAACAAUAAAACCAAAAGGGUAGACAACUACAACAAAUUAAACAUAAACAACAAGAGAAUUAGAGAAGCAGUACCAUUUAUUUAAAACAGUCCCAAGGGAAGGAAAAAACUCCCAUUAGGCUCUUCUUCUUCUCCUCUUUCACAGCAGACCUUUGCAUGAUACACUAAAGACAAAGAGCACCAAUCGAUGAUAAGUUCAAGAACCACCAACUUUAGUGUAUCUCACCCACAAUUUCUAUAGUGGAAGUUUGCAACGU
This 720-nucleotide long non-coding RNA is filed under the name Brassica rapa (field mustard). RNAcentral describes it as "long non-coding RNA (BRAP_LNC007260)". The record is from RNAcentral. Lineage: Eukaryota; Viridiplantae; Streptophyta; Magnoliopsida; Brassicales; Brassicaceae.